CUGGGAUUACAGGCGUGAGCCACCGCGCCCGGCCAAAGAUGUUAUUUUCUAUAAAGGCAACCGUUAGAACCUUCAACUCAUUAUUUUUAGGCUGACAAAAACAUCUGUUAUUAUUAUACCACACUAUGUAUUGUGAAUAGUUUAUUUUACAAGCAUAAUAGAGUAUUUUGAAAUUACACUCUGCUAGAACCCCUUGCUAGUUGUUAAUUUUACCUAGAAAAGACUCACAGAUUCUUUGUUAAAAUAAGAAAUCUAGCAAAGUCAGACUUUUCUCCCUACCACCCCACCCAACCCCAUUAUACACAAAAGAAAAGAGGAACAGUCCAGAUGUGGUGGCUGACACCUGUAAUCCCAGUACUUUGUGAGGUGGAGAGUUGGGCAGAUCACCUGAGGCCUGGAGUCUGAGAUCACCCUGGCCAAUAUGGUGAAUUCUCAUCUUUACUAAAAACACAAAAAUUAGCCGGGCAUGGUGGCCCGUGCCUGUAAUCCCAGCUACUUGGGAAGGUGAGGCACAAGAAUCGCUUGAACUCAGGAAGUGGAGGUUGCAGCGAACAACCACUGCACUCCAUCCUGGGUGACAGAGCAAGAUCUGUCUCAAAAAAAAAAUAAAUAAAUAAAAUAAAAUAAAAUAUAAAAAAAAGAGAUGAGAAACAAAUGAUCAGAUUUGCAGAGUAAUCUUUCAAGAAUUUAUCCUAUUUACACAUGCAGAAAUGUCAAUUACAACAUUACUAUCAGGGCAACAAAUUAUCAAGUAAAGCUACCAAUCAGAAUUAUAAUCUAUGAGAAAGGAGUUCACUCAGCUUAUUUCCAGGAGUACCUGGAGUCACGGUACCAACCCUUAGCCAACCACUUGGGGCUAAGUCCUUGGAGUUAACAUAGUCACCAAUGAAGUUGUUUUGUGCUCCUGAGGCACUGAGGCAUGACAUGCUCAAUUGCCAGCACUGCCUAACACAAAUAUCAAGAUGUGCCAUGAGCACCUGCCUCCUGGGUAAAGAUCUGCACCAUAGAUUGUCACGUGGGAGGAAUGUGCCUUGUGCAACCAGACUCCUGUAAGAACUCCGGGACCUCAGACCUAAGUGGACUUACGUGGGCAGAGACAUCUCAUAUAUGUUCGUAUAAUUUGUAGUCGUGCCAAAAGCACCUUACUGUGACCAGCAUGGAGGGAGAACCUAGAAGUCUGCACCUAAUCUUUCGGGUCUUCUUGUAGGCAUAACUUUUUUCUGCUGAUCCUGUAUAAUAUCCUUUGCUGUAAUAGGCUUUUAGCCAUGAGAAUAACCUGUUACUCAGCCAAAUGCGUCCUGACAAAUCUCAAAAGUAGUAUAUUCUCAGGACCCAUAAAGCACAAGCAUUUUUCCAAAGGUAAUUUUCAAGGCCAGGGCAAGUAAGUUUCUAAGUCUUAGUUUUAUAAAACUCUUUUUUCAAAGAAAAUGACUUACAAUAAGAAACCGAAGAUUCACACCACUCUCCAUAUUGCACAAAAGAGAAAAAAGAUUGAUAUUUUUGUCAAUAUCGACCAUUUGACACUUUACAAAAUCAGAUAUUUUGAAUAUGUGUUAUAUCUCAGAAAGACAUCCUCCUCUCUGUGCUAUAGGGGAGAGGAGCAUAUCCUUUAUUUAUUUCCAAGACUUCUGUUAAUUACAAAGGCUCACAUUGAUAAGCCAAGCUCUGGAUUUUCAUUAGUUAGCAUUAUAAGCAAAAAGCAGGCCUGUGAGAUCAAUUUUACUGGCAUAAAUGCAGUAAAGAAUGAAUAAGAUAUAAUAAUAACUGAAAUACAGAGCCUAUAGCAUUAUUUUUCCACAAUAUGUAAUCACAUAUUUAUAAAUCUGAAAAUAAAAGAAAUAUCAUUAGAAUGUCACUCUGUACAAAUUUAUGGCAAUAUGCACAAAAUACACUAAAAGCUGCCUUAUUUUUAUGCAGUUGCAUGCUCACAUAUAUAUUUCUGUAACAGACAAUUUUACUUUGAUGUGACAGGAGAUAAUCGAUCUUGAAGUUAAAGAUAAUAAAUUUGGGUGUGACUAAGGUGUAUAAAUUUCAGUUGAUCUAUAUAGAUUUAUAGCAAGAUGGUUAAAAUGUGAGGUUGCUCAUCAGAGGCAUAGGGUUAUCUUAAUUAUCUCUGAUAUGUAAAUCAUUUACUUUUCACAAAAGGCCCUCUUUCUUGUGUAAACACAAACAACCAUAAAUUAAAAUAAGUAGCAGAUGACUAGUAUGCUAUUUUAUUUUGCUUUAUGAACAAAAGUAAACCUGCUUUGAAGACACAAAUAAUCUUUCUUGUAAGUAGGUACGUAUCCGGCACCUUAUUACAUAGAAGAGAGCACCAGCACCAGACCCUGCCAAAAUGAAACAAAACAAGAACUGGCAAAAUGAUUGUUUCUAAUAUAAGCCAGGAAAUUUUUUUUUUAUUGAAAGUCUAUUUGCAGCCAGGUGUGGUGGCUCACACCUGUAAUCCCAGCACUUUGGGAGGUUGAGGCAAAAGGAUCCCUUGAGCCCAGGAGUUUAAGACAAGCCUGGGUUACAUAGUGAGACCCCAUCUCUACAAAAAAUAAAAAAUUAGCUGGGCAUAGUCUCAGCUACUCAGGAGACUGAGGUGGGAGGAUUGCUUGAGCCCUGAAGGUGGAGGCAGCAGUGAGCUGUGAUUGUACCACUGCGCUCGAGGCUUGAGGACAGAGCAAAACACUGACUCAAAAAAAAAAAAAAAAAAAAAAGAAAGAAAGUCUACAUCCAAUAGCCAGAAGUAUGUCUCUAAGGUCCUUGACCUUCCAAGUAUAAUGCAAAACACAGAAGAGAUUGUUUUAGAAUGAUAAAUUUGACUACUAAGCAAAAAAUUAUGCAUGGCAUAAGUCACAAUUAACAAAGCCAAAAGAAAAAUGACAAAUAUUUAAUAAGAAUAUCUGGAAGCACUCAAGAUCCAUUAAGGCAAUUGGAGUGUAAUAUCAGGCAGAAAGAACUAGAAUGUAACUGAACUCAAUAUAUUGAUUGGGUUCUAAUCCUAAAAUACUGAUUUUUAUACUGUCCAAAGAAAGUUUGCAAUCAAAACAAAGGUCAGAAGAGAUAAGUAAAGGACAGCCAGAGAGCAAGAUUUUGCACUGAUUAGCUCUCACUAUUCAGAGUCCAGAGAAAUUUACUAUAGUGGACACAAAUACUCUAGUUGUUCCAUAGUUAUAUACUAUUGUGGGAUAAGAAUGGUUUAUUUCAGUUUGGAUAAAGUAUCUCUUAAAACUAUAUAACUCCUGUUAUUCCAGUUUCACUCUCCUUUAAGUAAACUGAUUCUGUCAAUACUUACCAGUUACUGGACAGGCACAGCAGCUCACACUUGUAAUCCCAACACUUUGGGAGGUUGAGGUGGGUGGAUCACUUGAGGUCAGGAGUUCGAGACCAGCCUGGCCAACAUAGUGAAAACCCGCCUCUACUAAAAAUACAAAAAUUAGCUGGGUGUGGUGGCGGGCACCUGUAAUCCCAGCUAUUCGGGAGGCUGAGGCAGGAGAAUGGCUUGAGCCCAAGAGGUGAAGGUUGCAGUGAACCACCAAGAUCACGCCACUGCACUCCAGCCUGGGUGAUGGAGUGAGACUCUGUCUCAAAAAAAAAAAAAAAAAAAAAAAAAAAAAAAAAAAAAAAAAAAAAAGAUACUUACCAGUUACCAAAAAGAGAACAUGAAAAAUAUAUGUAAUUUUCACUAUAAAUUUUUCUGGUAGAUAUCCUGGCUUACAUAGUUUCUUAUGAGUUUGGUUAUCAUGAAUUCUUUGGUUAUCCUGGUAUUCAUGGAAUCUCAUCAAUUCUGGAUUCAUUCACAAUUUUGAAUUUUCACGCCUGAGAACUGGGGACCAGACUAUAAGUUGAUAACUCUUAACAUUUUCACCUCUGAGCCCUUGCCCAAGUAGCCAAAUGAUCUCAAGAUAUGUCUGUUUCAGUUAGCCUUUGUUGUAUAACAAAUCACCUCUAGCCGGGUGCAGUGGCUCAUGCCUGUAAUCCCAACACUUUGGGAGGCCGUGGCAGGUGGAUCACAGGGUCAGGAGUUCAAGACCAGCCUGGCCAACAUGGUGAAACCCUGUCUCUACUAAAAAUAUAAAAAAAAAUUAGCUGGGCCUGGUGGCGGAUGCCUGUAAUCUCAGCUACCCAGGAGGCUGAGGCAGAGAAUUGCUUGAACCCAGGAGAUGGAGGUUGCAGUGAGACGAGAUCGCGCCACUGCACUCCAGCCUGGGCGACAGAGUGACACCAUCUCAAAAACAAAACAAAACAAAACAAAAAAACAAAAAAAACAAAUCACCUCUAAAAUUAGUAGCCUAUAAUGGCAUCUGUUUAUUGUUCAUAUUUCUGUGGGUUGAAAUUUGGACUGGAAUCAGCUGAGUGGUGCUUCUGCUGAUCUCCCCUGGAACCACUUGACUUGUCAUCUCUCUAAGAUGGUCUUUUGUUUACAUACGUAGCACUUGGUGCUAUCAACUUGUAUACUUCAGGCCGUGGCCUCAUCUUUAAUACGCUAUACUGAGCUUCUUUAUACAAUAGUCUCAGGGCAGAAUUCUAAGAGCAAGAGCAGAAGCCAGAAGACCUUUUCAAAAUGAAAUUCAGAAGUCAUCACUUCUCCAUUUUAUUGGUCAAAGUCACAAGACCAGCCCAAGAUUCAAGAGGUGGGUAAAUAGACUUCACCUCUUUUCAGGAGGGGAUACAAAUAAUCUGUAGCUUUAUUUAUUUACUUAUGCGACAGAGUCUUACUCUGUUGCCCAGGCUGGAGUGCAGUGGCGUGAUCUCAGCUCACUGCAACCUCCACCUCCUGGGUUCAAGCGAUUCUCCCACCUCAGCCUCCCAAGCUGGGAUUAGCCCGCCACCAUGCCUAGCUAACUUUUGUAUUUUUAGUAGAGACGGGGUUUCACCAUGUUGACCAGGCUGGUCUCAAACUCCUGUCCUUAGGUGACCUGCCCACCUCGGCCACCCAAAGUGUUGGGAUUACAGACGUGAGCCACCUUGCCCAGCUCCCUGUAGCUAUAUUUAAUUACCCACAACUUGUAACACCGAUUCACAAUAGUCCCAAUAAUGUUCUUUAUAGAAAAAGAAGAUUCUCUGGUCUGGGAUCCAAUCUAGGUUCACACAGUACAUUUAGUUGUCAUGUCUCUUUGGUCUCAAUCUGUAACAAUUCCUUAGUUUUUCUUUGUCUUUCAUGAUGUUGACAGUUUAAAAUUUUGUCUUUUGGAUUAUGUGAUGUUUUGAAUUUUGUAACAUGUCCCUCAAUUUGGCUUUGUUGGAUAUUUCCUUGUGAUUAGAUUCAGAUUUUGCAUUUUUGGCAAAAAACUAUAUAAGAGCUAUUAUGACCAUCUCAUUGCAGUACAGCAGGAGAAAAUGAUGUCAGCUUGCCCCAUUAUUGGUGGUAUUAACUUUGAUUAACUGUUUUCACUGUCACAUUACUAUUUUUCUUUUGUAAUUAAUUAGUGGUAAUUAAUUGUGUUAUGAUAAGAUGCUCCUUAUCAAACUUUCACUGACUAGUUGUAGUAUCAAUUAAUUACAUUUAAAAAUUUAAAGAAGGGCCGGGUGUGGUGGCUCACGCCUGCACUCCAUCCUGGGCGACAAGAGCAAGACUCUGUCUCAAAAAAAAAAAAAAAAUUUAAAGAAGAAACAUUGUUUUAAACUUAGAUUCAAACAUCAGUUUGCUACUUAUCAGCUGUGUGACCUUAGGGCAACUCACCAGAUGGCUCUGAGCCUCAGUUUCCUCAUGUGUAGAUUGUAGAUAAUAAUAUUUUUCUCAUAAAAUUGAUGUGGGUAAUACAUAUAAAGUACUUAGCAGAGCGAUUACCAUUUAUUUUAUUUCACUAGUUUUUACGGAAAUUCUUUAAAUUUUAGUAGUGUGUAGGAAGAGAUCAUCUUUGUCCUAAUAGAGAUUAUACUCUAGUCUAGAGUAGAGGUGAGCAAACUUUUUCUGUAAAGAGCAGAUGGUGGCUGGGCACCGUGGCUCACGCCUGUAAUCCCAGCACUUUGGGAGGCUGAGGCCGGCAGAUCACCUGAGGUCAGCAGUUCAAGACCAACCUGGCCAACAUAGCAAAGCCCCAUGUCUACUAAAAAUACAAACAUUAGCUGGGCGUGGUGGUGCAUAUCUGUAAUCUCAGCUAUUCAGGAGGCUGAGGCAUGAGAAUCACUUGAACCCAGGAGGCGGAGGUUGCAGUGAGCUGAGACUGCACCACUGCACUCCAGCCUGGGCAAAAAGAGCGAAAUUCCAUCUCAAAAAAAAAAAAAAAAGCAGACGGUAAAUAUUUUAGGAGCCAAAUGGGCAAUACAUAAAUGAAUGCAUUUUACUGUAUUCCAAAAACUUUAUUUAUAAAACAAGUGGUAGGCUGGACUUGGCCCAUGGGCUGGAGUUUGCUGAUCUCUGGUCUAGAGCAAACAGACCAACAAGAAAAUAUAAUUACAAACAAACAAAAAACCCAGCCAAACAAAAAUAAAUAAAAAUAAUUACAAAUCAUAAGUGUUCUGAAGGGAAAAGAUAGGUUUUAGGGGAUUAUAUAACAGUGACCUCACCUUGUCUAGAAUGUCAGGAGUAGCAACGCUAAAGCAGUAGCAUUUACACUGAGACCUAGAAAGCAGGUAGUCAUUAACUAAAUAUGUGGUGGCAGGGAGCUUAUCAGGCAGAGCAAAUAGCAUAUUCUAAGGAAAUGAGGGAGAAAGUUACAUAACUUUUUCUUUCUUUUUUUUUUUUGAGACAGGGUCUCAUUCUGUUGUCCAGGCUGGAGGGCAGUGGUGCAAUCAUGGUCAGCUGGAGCCUUAAACUCCUGGGCUCAAGCAAUCCUCCUACCUCAACCUCCUGAGUAGCUGGGACCACAGGCGUUCUCCAUCAUGUCCAGCUAUUUUUGUAUUUUUUUGUAGAGAUGGAGCUCUCACUAUGUUGCCCAGGCUUGUCUUGAACUCCUGGACUCAAGUGAGCCUCCUGCUUCACCCUCCCAAAAUGCUGGGAUUACAGACAUAAGCCACAGCACCAGCUGAACUUUUUUUUCUGAGACGGAGUCUUGCUCUGUUGCCAGGUUGGAGUGCAGUGGCAAGAUCUCGGCUCACUGCAACCUCUGUCUCCUGGGUUCAAGCGAUCUCC
Molecule: long non-coding RNA, 7060 nt
Filed under: Homo sapiens (human)
Lineage: Eukaryota; Metazoa; Chordata; Mammalia; Primates; Hominidae
Description: HSALNT0187478
Source: RNAcentral